CCCUGUCAGGCGGUGGUCUGACUUAUGGGCCGCUGUAAACAAAGCAGAGAAAGGAGAUUGAUAGCUGGGAGUGGCAUUCUGGGACAGAAAAGCAGCAGCAGGUGUCACCAAGGGAACAUAAUAUGUGUGGAGACCUAUUUGAUCUUCUCAAGAUUCACCUGGGAACACGUGCCUAUCACCAUGAAGAUCAGUGAAAUAUAGCAGACCCCACUGAAGACCUCCAAAAUCUGUCCAAGAAUGAAAUUCAGCAGGUAAUAUAAUAUGAAUCAGAACUGACAAUAUUUACUUUCUUAAGGUGUUUUCAUAGAUUAGAUUAGCAAAAUUGCAGUUGUCUACCCAGCAGGCACACAAUGUCAUGGGUUAAAUUUUGGUUGUCAAUUCAACAUCUAAUGUCAGUAUUAAAGGGAUAGUUCACCCAAAAAUGAAAAUUUUAUGUUUAUCUGCUUACCUCCAGGACAUCCAAGAUAUAGGUGACUUUGUUUCUUCAGUAGAACACAAACAAAGAUUUUUAACUCAAACCGUUGCAGUCUGUCAGUCAUAUAAUAGCAGUCAAUGGGCUCCAUGGCUUUGAGAGUAAAAUAAACAUACACAGACAAAACCAAAUUAAACCCUGUUUAUUAAAUCAGUUUAUUGCACAGGCCGAUCAUUUUGU
Cyprinus carpio carpio is the source of this 652-nucleotide long non-coding RNA. NCBI's taxonomy places the organism in Eukaryota, Metazoa, Chordata, Actinopteri, Cypriniformes, Cyprinidae. The record is from Ensembl.